RNAcentral lists this ribosomal RNA (354 nucleotides) under uncultured bacterium. RNAcentral's name for it is "bacterial SSU rRNA". It matches the Rfam family "Bacterial small subunit ribosomal RNA", at positions 1030 to 1382 of the family's 1533-position model. The record is from RNAcentral.
GUGCACAGGUGGUGCAUGGCUGUCGUCAGCUCGUGUCGUGAGAUGUUGGGUUAAGUCCCGCAACGAGCGCAACCCUUGUCCCAUGUUGCCAGCGGGUAAUGCCGGGGACUCGUGGGAGACUGCCGGGGUCAACUCGGAGGAAGGUGGGGACGACGUCAAGUCAUCAUGCCCCUUAUGCCCAGGGCUUCACACAUGCUACAAUGGCCAGUACAGAGGGUUGCGAGACCGUGAGGUGGAGCGAAUCCCUUAAAGCUGGUCUCAGUUCGGAUCGUAGUCUGCAACUCGACUACGUGAAGUCGGAGUCGCUAGUAAUCGCAGAUCAGCAACGCUGCGGUGAAUACGUUCCCGGGCCUU